Long non-coding RNA from Oreochromis niloticus (Nile tilapia), 761 nucleotides. RefSeq lists it as uncharacterized. The record is from RefSeq and is a predicted model, not a curated record. The transcript has 4 exons. NCBI's taxonomy places the organism in Eukaryota, Metazoa, Chordata, Actinopteri, Cichliformes, Cichlidae.
CCUCUCCUCUCCGAAGUGACAGAGAGGAGAAAACGCUCAUAUCGCGUUAUUUUGAAAGCAAUUUUAGAGAAAUAUGGUAGUUAGUUUAAUUAUAUUUAAUGCACCGGGAGAGGAGAAAACGUCUGGGAAAUGAUGAAGAGGGGAUAUUAGUUUUUUGAAAGUAAUUUCCUUUCAUUUCCCCUUUAAGUCACCACAUCCACUGCUGAACUCUCCGCAUACGGGAAAACCACGCACUGAGCUCCAGGUUUAGGAUUAGGGAUUCAUCUCCCCGAGACGUCUACUCAUUUGUUCUUGAAUCUUGCCAAGAAAGCCCCAGGAUGCAGAUGAUAUUUUCAGGAGUGACACAGACAGAUAAAAAGUCCACAUCGCUUCUUCCCUUCCUCCCAGUGAUAUUCAUGAGGUGUACCGCUACACUGAAAAAACACCCAAGAGUCCCCGCUUGACCUCUCUGUUUCAAACAAAUCAUUCUGUGGGUUUGAACACUGAGCGCCGACGGGUUAUCAUUUAUGCCAACUAAUAUAAACUGAAAAAAGGAGCAGGUUCGGAGAGGAAUAAUCCACAUCUGCAGUUCUCAUAUCGGCCUCUGUGGACCUUUGCUGACUCUGGGUCUGGCUGCCUCGAAGUCAUCCUUAUAUGGACCAGAUGUCAGAGUGAAUACACCAUCAUGACUUCUCAAGUUGUCCAGAAGGGCGUUGUAGUCAUUGUCCCCCGGGAGAAUACCGAGCAUUGUACCUGUAUUGUGCUGCCUCUCUGAAGAGACA